RNAcentral lists this ribosomal RNA (953 nucleotides) under Duganella margarita. RNAcentral describes it as "partial 23S ribosomal RNA". It matches the Rfam family "Bacterial large subunit ribosomal RNA", at positions 1223 to 2176 of the family's 2925-position model. Lineage: Bacteria; Pseudomonadati; Pseudomonadota; Betaproteobacteria; Burkholderiales; Oxalobacteraceae. The record is from RNAcentral.
AUAUGGUAGGAGAGCGUUCUGUAAGCCUGCGAAGGUGUCUUGUAAAGGAUGCUGGAGGUAUCAGAAGUGCGAAUGCUGACAUGAGUAGCGAUAAUGGGGGUGAAAAGCCCCCACGCCGUAAGCCCAAGGUUUCCUGUUCAACGUUCAUCGGAGCAGGGUGAGUCGGCCCCUAAGGCGAGGCAGAGAUGCGUAGCUGAUGGGAAGCAGGUUAAUAUUCCUGCACCGUCGUAUGAUGCGAUGGGGGGACGGAUCGCGGAAGGUUGUCUGCCUGUUGGAAUAGGCAGUUUCUGCUUCAUAGAAGGCGCUUAGGCAAAUCCGGGCGCGUAAUUCAAGGGAGUGGGACGAGUGCACUUGUGCACGUAGCAAUCGGAAGUGGUUCCAAGAAAAGCCUCUAAGCUUCAGUCAUACGAGACCGUACCGCAAACCGACACAGGUGGGCGAGAUGAGUAUUCUAAGGCGCUUGAGAGAACUCGGGAGAAGGAACUCGGCAAAUUGGUACCGUAACUUCGGGAAAAGGUACGCCCUUGUAGCUUGGCUGAUUUACUUCAGUAGGGCGAACGGGUUGCAAUAAACUGGUGGCUGCGACUGUUUAAUAAAAACACAGCACUCUGCAAACACGAAAGUGGACGUAUAGGGUGUGACGCCUGCCCGGUGCUGGAAGAUUAAAUGAUGGGGUGCAAGCUCUUGAUUGAAGUCCCAGUAAACGGCGGCCGUAACUAUAACGGUCCUAAGGUAGCGAAAUUCCUUGUCGGGUAAGUUCCGACCUGCACGAAUGGCGUAACGAUGGCCACACUGUCUCCUCCCGAGACUCAGCGAAGUUGAAAUGUUUGUGAUGAUGCAAUCUACCCGCGGCUAGACGGAAAGACCCCAUGAACCUUUACUGUAGCUUUGCAUUGGACUUUGAACCAAUCUGUGUAGGAUAGGUGGGAGGCUUUGAAGCGGGAACGCCAGUU